RNAcentral lists this ribosomal RNA (422 nucleotides) under Torleya major. RNAcentral's name for it is "partial 16S ribosomal RNA". It matches the Rfam family "Bacterial large subunit ribosomal RNA", at positions 1928 to 2566 of the family's 2925-position model. The record is from RNAcentral. Lineage: Eukaryota; Metazoa; Arthropoda; Insecta; Ephemeroptera; Ephemerellidae.
GGGCCGCGGUAUAUUGACCGUGCAAAGGUAGCAUAAUCAUUAGUCUUAUAAUUGAAGACUGGAAUGAAGGGGAGGACGAGGUGCAAGCUGUCUUUAUUAGGAUUUAGAAUUUCACUUUUUAGUGAAAAGGCUAAAAUAGAAUUAGAGGACGAGAAGACCCUAUAGAACUUUAUAAGAAACUUAUAAAUCUUUUAGGAAAGGUUGAAGAUAUAAUAAGGGCCUUAUUUUGUUGGGGUGACAGGGCAAUAAUAUAACUUGCUUUUUACUCUACACUGAUAGGUGAAACUAUGAACCAUAUAUAAUGAUUAAAAAAUUAAGUUACCUUAGGGAUAACAGCGUAAUCUUCUUUGAGAGCUCAUAUCGAUAAGAAGGGUUGCGACCUCGAUGUUGGAUUAAAGGUAAUUUUAGGUGUAGAAGCUUGG